This 253-nucleotide ribosomal RNA is filed under the name uncultured bacterium. RNAcentral's name for it is "partial 16S ribosomal RNA". It matches the Rfam family "Bacterial small subunit ribosomal RNA", at positions 524 to 776 of the family's 1533-position model. The record is from RNAcentral.
UACGUAGGGUGCAAGCGUUGUCCGGAAUUAUUGGGCGUAAAGAGCUCGUAGGCGGUUUGUCGCGUCUGCUGUGAAAACCCGAGGCUCAACCUCGGGCCUGCAGUGGGUACGGGCAGACUAGAGGUAGGUAGGGGAGAAUGGAAUUCCCGGUGUAGCGGUGAAAUGCGCAGAUAUCGGGAGGAACACCGGUGGCGAAGGCGGUUCUCUGGGCCUUACCUGACGCUGAGGAGCGAAAGCGUGGGGAGCGAACAGG